CAGCCGCCGCGGGAAUACGUAGGGUGCGAGCGUUAAUCGGAAUUACUGGGCGUAAAGCGUGCGCAGGCGGUUGUGUAAGACAGGUGUGAAAUCCCCGGGCUUAACCUGGGAACUGCGCUUGUGACUGCACAGCUAGAGUAUGGCAGAGGGGGGUGGAACUCCACGUGUAGCAGUGAAAUGCGUAGAGAUGUGGAGGAACAUCGAUGGCGAAGGCAGCCCCCUGGGCCAAUACUGACGCUCAUGCACGAAAGCGUGGGGAGCAAACAGGAUUAGAUACCCCCGUAGUCCCUGUCUCUUAUAC
This 301-nucleotide ribosomal RNA is filed under the name uncultured bacterium. RNAcentral's name for it is "partial 16S ribosomal RNA". It matches the Rfam family "Bacterial small subunit ribosomal RNA", at positions 509 to 807 of the family's 1533-position model. The record is from RNAcentral.